This 253-nucleotide ribosomal RNA is filed under the name uncultured prokaryote. RNAcentral's name for it is "partial 16S ribosomal RNA". It matches the Rfam family "Bacterial small subunit ribosomal RNA", at positions 525 to 777 of the family's 1533-position model. The record is from RNAcentral.
ACAGAGGGUGCAAACGUUGCUCGGAAUCACUGGGCGUAAAGGGCGUGUAGGCGGACUUGUAAGUCGGGCGUGAAAUCCCUGGGCUCAACCCAGGAACUGCGCUCGAAACUGCGAGUCUUGAGUACCGGAGAGGAAGGUGGAAUUCCUGGUGUAGAGGUGAAAUUCGUAGAUAUCAGGAGGAACACCAGUGGCGAAGGCGGCCUUCUGGACGGUAACUGACGCUGAGACGCGAAAGCGUGGGGAGCAAACAGGA